GUACACAAAAAUGCACAUAUUGUGAGCUCGAUGAGUAGGGCGGGACACGUGGUAUCCUGUCUGAAUAUGGGGGGACCAUCCUCCAAGGCUAAAUACUCCUGACUGACCGAUAGUGAACCAGUACCGUGAGGGAAAGGCGAAAAGAACCCCGGCGAGGGGAGUGAAAAAGAACCUGAAACCGUGUACGUACAAGCAGUGGGAGCCUCUUUAUGGGGUGACUGCGUACCUUUUGUAUAAUGGGUCAGCGACUUAUAUUCUGUAGCAAGGUUAACCGAAUAGGGGAGCCGAAGGGAAACCGAGUCUUAACUGGGCGUUAAGUUGCAGGGUAUAGACCCGAAACCCGGUGAUCUAGCCAUGGGCAGGUUGAAGGUUGGGUAACACUAACUGGAGGACCGAACCGACUAAUGUUGAAAAAUUAGCGGAUGACUUGUGGCUGGGGGUGAAAGGCCAAUCAAACCGGGAGAUAGCUGGUUCUCCCCGAAAGCUAUUUAGGUAGCGCCUCGUGAAUUCAUCUCCGGGGGUAGAGCACUGUUUCGGCAAGGGGGUCAUCCCGACUUACCAACCCGAUGCAAACUGCGAAUACCGGAGAAUGUUAUCACGGGAGACACACGGCGGGUGCUAACGUCCGUCGUGAAGAGGGAAACAACCCAGACCGCCAGCUAAGGUCCCAAAGUCAUGGUUAAGUGGGAAACGAUGUGGGAAGGCCCAGACAGCCAGGAUGUUGGCUUAGAAGCAGCCAUCAUUUAAAGAAAGCGUAAUAGCUCACUGGUCGAGUCGGCCUGCGCGGAAGAUGUAACGGGGCUAAACCAUGCACCGAAGCUGCGGCAGCGACACUAUGUGUUGUUGGGUAGGGGAGCGUUCUGUAAGCCUGUGAAGGUGGCCUGUGAGGGUUGCUGGAGGUAUCAGAAGUGCGAAUGCUGACAUAAGUAACGAUAAAGCGGGUGAAAAGCCCGCUCGCCGGAAGACCAAGGGUUCCUGUCCAACGUUAAUCGGGGCAGGGUGAGUCGACCCCUAAGGCGAGGCCGAAAGGCGUAGUCGAUGGGAAACAGGUUAAUAUUCCUGUACUUGGUGUUACUGCGAAGGGGGGACGGAGAAGGCUAUGUUGGCCGGGCGACGGUUGUCCCGGUUUAAGCGUGUAGGCUGGUUUUCCAGGCAAAUCCGGAAAACCAAGGCUGAGGCGUGAUGACGAGGCACUACGGUGCUGAAGCGACAAAUGCCCUGCUUCCAGGAAAAGCCUCUAAGCAUCAGGUAACAUCAAAUCGUACCCCAAACCGACACAGGUGGUCAGGUAGAGAAUACCAAGGCGCUUGAGAGAACUCGGGUGAAGGAACUAGGCAAAAUGGUGCCGUAACUUCGGGAGAAGGCACGCUGAUAUGUAGGUGAAGCGACUUGCUCGUGGAGCUGAAAUCAGUCGAAGAUACCAGCUGGCUGCAACUGUUUAUUAAAAACACAGCACUGUGCAAACACGAAAGUGGACGUAUACGGUGUGACGCCUGCCCGGUGCCGGAAGGUUAAUUGAUGGGGUUAGCGGUAACGCGAAGCUCUUGAUCGAAGCCCCGGUAAACGGCGGCCGUAACUAUAACGGUCCUAAGGUAGCGAAAUUCCUUGUCGGGUAAGUUCCGACCUGCACGAAUGGCGUAAUGAUGGCCAGGCUGUCUCCACCCGAGACUCAGUGAAAUUGAACUCGCUGUGAAGAUGCAGUGUACCCGCGGCAAGACGGAAAGACCCCGUGAACCUUUACUAUAGCUUGACACUGAACAUUGAGCCUUGAUGUGUAGGAUAGGUGGGAGGCUUUGAAGUGUGGACGCCAGUCUGCAUGGAGCCGACCUUGAAAUACCACCCUUUAAUGUUUGAUGUUCUAACGUUGGCCCGUAAUCCGGGUUGCGGACAGUGUCUGGUGGGUAGUUUGACUGGGGCGGUCUCCUCCUAAAGAGUAACGGAGGAGCACGAAGGUUGGCUAAUCCUGGUCGGACAUCAGGAGGUUAGUGCAAUGGCAUAAGCCAGCUUGACUGCGAGCGUGACGGCGCGAGCAGGUGCGAAAGCAGGUCAUAGUGAUCCGGUGGUUCUGAAUGGAAGGGCCAUCGCUCAACGGAUAAAAGGUACUCCGGGGAUAACAGGCUGAUACCGCCCAAGAGUUCAUAUCGACGGCGGUGUUUGGCACCUCGAUGUCGGCUCAUCACAUCCUGGGGCUGAAGUAGGUCCCAAGGGUAUGGCUGUUCGCCAUUUAAAGUGGUACGCGAGCUGGGUUUAGAACGUCGUGAGACAGUUCGGUCCCUAUCUGCCGUGGGCGCUGGAGAACUGAGGGGGGCUGCUCCUAGUACGAGAGGACCGGAGUGGACGCAUCACUGGUGUUCGGGUUGUCAUGCCAAUGGCACUGCCCGGUAGCUAAAUGCGGAAGAGAUAAGUGCUGAAAGCAUCUAAGCACGAAACUUGCCCCGAGAUGAGUUCUCC
Molecule: ribosomal RNA, 2451 nt
Filed under: Escherichia coli
Lineage: Bacteria; Pseudomonadati; Pseudomonadota; Gammaproteobacteria; Enterobacterales; Enterobacteriaceae
Description: partial 23S ribosomal RNA
Rfam family: Bacterial large subunit ribosomal RNA
Source: RNAcentral